RNAcentral lists this ribosomal RNA (483 nucleotides) under uncultured bacterium. RNAcentral's name for it is "bacterial SSU rRNA". It matches the Rfam family "Bacterial small subunit ribosomal RNA", at positions 28 to 524 of the family's 1533-position model. The record is from RNAcentral.
GACGAACGCUGGCGGCGUGCUUAACACAUGCAAGUCGAACGGUGAACCAGAGCUUGCUCUGGGGAUCAGUGGCGAACGGGUGAGUAACACGUGGGCAACCUGCCCAGACUCUGGGAUAACCUCGGGAAACCGAUGCUAAUACCGGAUACGACCACUUCGGACAUCCGACGGUGGUGGAAAGUUUUCGGUCUGGGAUGGGCCCGCGGCCUAUCAGCUAGUUGGUGGGGUAAUGGCCUACCAAGGCGACGACGGGUAGCCGGCCUGAGAGGGCGACCGGCCACACUGGAACUGAGACACGGUCCAGACUCCUACGGGAGGCAGCAGUGGGGAAUAUUGCACAAUGGGCGAAAGCCUGAUGCAGCGACGCCGCGUGAGGGACGACGGCCUUCGGGUUGGUAAACCUACUUUCAGCAGGACGAAGCGAAGUGACUGUACCUGCAGAAGAAGACACCGGCUAACUACGUAGCCAGCAGCCGCGGUAAU